This 162-nucleotide small nuclear RNA is filed under the name Macaca fascicularis (crab-eating macaque). RNAcentral describes it as "U4 spliceosomal RNA (ENSMFAG00000005404.2)". It matches the Rfam family "U4 spliceosomal RNA". From Rfam's summary of the family: U4 small nuclear RNA (U4 snRNA) is a component of the major U2-dependent spliceosome. Lineage: Eukaryota; Metazoa; Chordata; Mammalia; Primates; Cercopithecidae. The record is from Rfam by way of RNAcentral. RNAcentral also lists the same sequence under 2 other names.
AGCUUUGUGCAGUGGCAGUAUUGUAGCCAAUGAGGUUUAUCUGAGAUGUGAUUAUUGCUAACUGAAACAGAUUCAUAGUGCACAGAGAGUGGGAUUUGUAGUUAGCUACAUCUAGAUUUUGAAAUCCCCACCCCACUAUUUACCAGUUGGAUAAACUUGGAG